Molecule: unclassified non-coding RNA, 283 nt
Filed under: plant metagenome
Description: partial contains small subunit ribosomal RNA, internal transcribed spacer 1, and 5.8S ribosomal RNA
Rfam family: 5.8S ribosomal RNA (bases 235-283)
Source: RNAcentral
UUUCCGUAGGCGAACCUGCGGAAGGAUCAUUAUUGUAUAACCGAGGUGCGAGGGCUGUCGCUGACCCGAAAGGUCGUGCACGCCCGAGUGCCCUCACACACAUCCAUCUCACCCCUAUGUGCACUACCGCGUGGGUCCCCCUUUGGCUUGUUCGGAGGGGGGCUUACGUUUUCACACAAACUUUGUAUGCAGUGUAGAAUGUAUUUUUUGUUUUUGCGAUCACGCAAUCAAUACAACUUUCAACAACGGAUCUUUUGGCUCUCGCAUCGAUGAAAAACGCAGC